Molecule: long non-coding RNA, 1397 nt
Filed under: Homo sapiens (human)
Lineage: Eukaryota; Metazoa; Chordata; Mammalia; Primates; Hominidae
Description: non-protein coding lnc-NEBL-3:1
Source: RNAcentral
AUUUUAUUUUAAUAAGGUCUGGACAUAUUUAUACUCAGUAAUAUUGUAUAGACAUAGAAAAUGUUAACCUUAAAUAAUGAGAUUCAGAAAAUAUAAUUAGUUAUAGAGUAUAUUCUAGCUCAAAGCUUGAGAAUAGCCACCUAGUAAUAUCUGAUAAAGGACUUCCAUCCAGACUACAUAAAAACUCUUAGAAUUCAAAAAUUUUAAAAAAAUUAAAAAUGGACAAAGGAUCUGAAUAGUCCUAACCACUAGGAUGGCUAGAAUCCUACGUCUGAUACUAUCACAUGUUGGUGAGAAACACCAACACUGGAUAAAUCAGUACCUUCAUACACUACUGGUAAGAAUGUAUGACUCUGUUGGACGAGCAUUUUCAGUGCUGUAGGUGGUUCUGCAAUUAAUGUAAGACACAUCAAAUGAGCAAUUCAAUUUCAAAGAAUUGGUUUUCAUAUUCUUAUCAUAUUCUUUAUAAGCAUAAUAAGAGCUCCCAGUAACACUUAAUGAUAUUUCCUUGGCUUCAGCUUUUUCAAAUAUUAAUUUUCUUAAUCAGAAUUUGAUUUUGCUGACAUUUAAAAAAAUAUGACUUAGUUCACCACUCUACUUUCAACUUCACUUUACAUUAGGUGUAUGUUUUGUAUACAGUAAGUGUUUUUGUGUUUUUAACCAAUAAAUAUUUUUUGCUUUUACUAAAAUAUCUAUGGUAUUUAUAAAUUUUGUUUCCUUUACUGUCAUUUUUAAGAGCUGAAAGCAUAAAAAUUUAGAAAGCAUAAAAAUUAGGUCUCACCAAAUACAGAAUAUCAACAAAUAUAUUGAAAUUAUAAAAAAGAACUAAACUAAAAUUAUGCAGAUGAAAAAUACAAUAACUGAAAUUUUAAAAAGAUUACUAGAGGGUCUCAAAAGCAGAUUCCAGCAUGCAGAAGAAAGAAGCCAUACAUUUAAAGAUCAUACAAUUCUCUAGUAUGAGAAACAGAAAGAAAAAUAAAUGAAGGAAAAUGAACAGACUUCAGAGAUCUGUGGGAACUAUGAAGUACACCAACAACCACUCAUGGGAGGCCCAUAAGAAGGAGGAAAAGUAAAAUGGCCAGAAAGAACAUAUGAAGAAAUAUGGGCAAAUAUUUCUCAAAUUUGAUUUCAAAGAACUAUACACAUGCAAGAAUCUCAAGAAAAACUCUAGAAGAGAACAGUAUAAAUCUUCUUGACCUUGUAAUUGGCAAGAGUUUCUUAGAUAUAACAUCUAACACACAACCAAGGGCAAAACAUAAAGAAAUCAUACAUCAUAAAAAUAAAAACAAAUUGUACAUCAAAGGACACGAUUAAGGAAGCAAAAAGACAACCCACAGAAUGGCAGAAAGUGUUUGCAAAUCAUCUGUCUGAUAAGGGUCUAGUAUCCACAAUAUAUA